Molecule: ribosomal RNA, 406 nt
Filed under: uncultured bacterium
Lineage: Bacteria
Description: partial 16S ribosomal RNA
Rfam family: Bacterial small subunit ribosomal RNA
Source: RNAcentral
AUUGAACGCUGGCGGCAGGCUUAACACAUGCAAGUCGAGCGAGCGGCGGACGGGUGAGUAAUGUCUGGGAAACUGCCUGAUGGAGGGGGAUAACUACUGGAAACGGUAGCUAAUACCGCAUACCAUCAGAUGUUCCCAGAUGGGAUUAGCUAGUAGGUGGGGUAAUGGCUCACCUAGGCGACGAUCCCUAGCUGGUCUGAGAGGAUGACCGGCGAGACUGGCACUGAGAAACGGUCCAGACUCCUACGGGAGUCAGCAGUGGGGAAUAUUGCACAAUGGGCGCAAGCCUGAUGCAGCCAUGCCGCGGGUGUGAAGAAGGCCUUCGGGUUGUAAAGCACUUUCAGCGAGGAGGCGGGAGACGAAGAAGAAGCACCGGCUAACUCCGUGCCAGCAGCAGCGGUAAUAG